This 468-nucleotide ribosomal RNA is filed under the name uncultured bacterium. RNAcentral describes it as "partial 16S ribosomal RNA". It matches the Rfam family "Bacterial small subunit ribosomal RNA", at positions 28 to 507 of the family's 1533-position model. The record is from RNAcentral.
GACGAACGCUGGCGGCGUGCUUAACACAUGCAAGUCGAACGGAAAGGCCCUGCUUUUGUGGGGUGCUCGAGUGGCGAACGGGUGAGUAACACGUGAGUAACCCGCCCUUGACUUUGGGAUAACUUCAGGAAACUGGGGCUAAUACCGGAUAGGAGCUCCUGCUGCAUGGUGGGGGUUGGAAAGUUUCGGCGGUUGGGGAUGGACUCGCGGCUUAUCAGCUUGUUGGUGGGGUAGUGGCUUACCAAGGCUUUGACGGGUAGCCGGCCUGAGAGGGUGACCGGCCACAUUGGGACUGAGAUACGGCCCAGACUCCUACGGGAGGCAGCAGGGGGGAAUAUUGCACAAUGGGCGGAAGCCUGAUGCAGCAACGCCGCGUGCGGGAUGACGGCCUUCGGGUUGUAAACCGCUUUCUCCUGUGACGAAGCGUUAUUGACGGUAAUGGGUAAAGAAGCACCGGCUAACUACGUG